RNAcentral lists this ribosomal RNA (250 nucleotides) under uncultured bacterium. RNAcentral's name for it is "partial 16S ribosomal RNA". It matches the Rfam family "Bacterial small subunit ribosomal RNA", at positions 524 to 773 of the family's 1533-position model. The record is from RNAcentral.
UACAGAGGUCUCAAGCGUUGUUCGGAUUCAUUGGGCGUAAAGGGUGCGUAGGUGGCGUUGUAAGUCAGAUGUGAAAUCUCCGAGCUUAACUCGGAAACUGCAUUUGAUACUGCAUCGCUUGAGGAUUGUAGAGGGCAUUGGAAUUCACGGUGUAGCAGUGAAAUGCGUAGAUAUCGUGAGGAAGACCAGUGGCGAAGGCGAAUGCCUGGGCAAUUCCUGACACUGAGGCACGAAGGCCAGGGGAGCAAAC